Molecule: small RNA, 756 nt
Filed under: Vigna angularis var. angularis
Lineage: Eukaryota; Viridiplantae; Streptophyta; Magnoliopsida; Fabales; Fabaceae
Description: Non-protein coding transcript
Source: RNAcentral
CCAUUUUUUUUGUCCUCUAGUAAAGUGAAUUUCGAUUUUGAAAGCCUUCAUCCAAAUCUUCUCUCAUGGACAAUUUGAAACCAUUCAAUUUCCAGCAAAUUAUUUGUCCAUAUGGACAAUGAAAGGGGGGAGGGACAGCCACAUUCCAAACCUUGAAUCUUCUCUCAUGGAAAAUUUGAAACCAUUCAAUUUCCACCAAAUUAUUUGUCCAUAUGGACAAUGAAAGGGGGGAGGGACAGCCACAUUCCAAACCUUGAAUCUUCUCUCAUGGACAAUUUGAAACCAUUCAAUUUCCACCAAAUUAUUUGUCCAUAUGGACAAUGAAAGGGGGUAGGGACAGCCACAUUCCAAACCUUGAAUCUUCUCUCAUGGACAAUUUGAAACCAUUCAAUUUCCACCAAAUUAUUUGUCCAUAUGGACAAUGAAAGGGGGGAGGGAAAGCCACAUUCCAAACCUUGAAUCUUCUCUCAUGGACAAUUUGAAACCAUUCAAUUUCCACCAAAUUAUUUGUCCAUAUGGACAAUGAAAGGGGGAGGGACAGCCACCCACAUUCCAAACCUUGAAUCACCAUUUGUUCAACCAUCAUAUCAAGAAAAUAACACACAAGGGAGGAUCCAAUAAGAGUAUAAUAGACUAAGGAUAUGUUUAGAUAAACUUCUCCAUAAACAUUUUUCUUUCCUAUAAGCGUCUACAGCGAACCUUAUACAAACAAACCCUUACCAUCAUUUCAAAUAAAGGAAACACCAGAAAUAUGAG